UUAUCGCGCAUUCCCUUGAGUUGAUCAUGGCUCAGGACGAACGCUGGCGGCGUGCUUACACAUGCAAGUGGAGCGACGAACCGGGCUUCGGCCCGGGGCAAAGCCGCGAACGGGUGAGUAACACGUGGAUAACCUGCCCUGAGGACCGGGACAACCCGGGGAAACCCGAGCUAAUACCGGAUGUGGUCACCGUCCACAAGGACGGUGAGCAAAGGAAGCUUCGGCCUCCGCUUCGGGAGGGGUCCGCGGCCCAUUAGCUUGUUGGUGAGGUAACGGCUCACCAAGGCAACGAUGGGUAGCUGGUCUGAGAGGACGAUCAGCCACACUGGGACUGAGACACGGCCCAGACUCCUACGGGAGGCAGCAGUGGGGAAUCUUGCGCAAUGCGCGAAAGCGUGACGCAGCAACGCCGCGUGGGCGAAGAAGGCCUUCGGGUCGUAAAGCCCUUUCAGCAGGGACGAAGCUCCGGCAGCGAAUAGCUGUCCGGAGUGACGGUACCUGCAGAAGAAGCCCCGGCUAACUACGUGCCAGCAGCCGCGGUAAUACGUAGGGGGCCAGCGUUGUCCGGAAUCAUUGGGCGUAAAGAGCGCGUAGGCGGCCAGAUAAGUCCGGUGUGAAAGUCACAGGCUCAACCUGUGAAUGCCGCUGGAAACUGUCUGGCUAGAGUCCGGGAGGGGCGAGUGGAAUUCCUGGUGUAGCGGUGAAAUGCGCAGAUAUCAGGAGGAACACCAAUGGCGAAGGCAGCUCGCUGGAACG
RNAcentral lists this ribosomal RNA (756 nucleotides) under uncultured bacterium. RNAcentral describes it as "bacterial SSU rRNA". It matches the Rfam family "Bacterial small subunit ribosomal RNA", at positions 1 to 736 of the family's 1533-position model. The record is from RNAcentral.